This 27-nucleotide non-coding RNA is filed under the name Cricetulus griseus (Chinese hamster). Lineage: Eukaryota; Metazoa; Chordata; Mammalia; Rodentia; Cricetidae. The record is from RNAcentral.
UCUGAAAGGGGAGUUGUCACCAGGACA